Molecule: ribosomal RNA, 472 nt
Filed under: uncultured bacterium
Lineage: Bacteria
Description: bacterial SSU rRNA
Rfam family: Bacterial small subunit ribosomal RNA
Source: RNAcentral
UGGGGAAUAUUGGACAAUGGGCGAAAGCCUGAUCCAGCCAUGCCGCGUGUGUGAAGAAGGUCUUCGGAUUGUAAAGCACUUUAAGUUGGGAGGAAGGGCCAUUACCUAAUACGUGAUGGUUUUGACGUUACCGACAGAAUAAGCACCGGCUAACUCUGUGCCAGCAGCCGCGGUAAUACAGAGGGUGCAAGCGUUAAUCGGAAUUACUGGGCGUAAAGCGCGCGUAGGUGGUUUGUUAAGUUGGAUGUGAAAUCCCCGGGCUCAACCUGGGAACUGCAUUCAAAACUGACUGACUAGAGUAUGGUAGAGGGUGGUGGAAUUUCCUGUGUAGCGGUGAAAUGCGUAGAUAUAGGAAGGAACACCAGUGGCGAAGGCGACCACCUGGACUGAUACUGACACUGAGGUGCGAAAGCGUGGGGAGCAAACAGGAUUAGAUACCCCUGUAGUCCCUGAGCGGGCUGGCAAGGCGCAU